Long non-coding RNA from Pezoporus occidentalis (night parrot), 952 nucleotides. RefSeq lists it as uncharacterized. The transcript is spliced from 2 exons. The record is from RefSeq and is a predicted model, not a curated record. Lineage: Eukaryota; Metazoa; Chordata; Aves; Psittaciformes; Psittacidae.
UUGAAGCUUGCAGGUCCUUUGUAGGUGUUUUUAGUAUGCAACAAACAAAUCUGAAGUAAUUAUACGAAAACAAAUGACGCUGAAGCAUAAUACUACCUGUCCAGGUUAACUGUGCAGUGAUGCUCUAAGACCAGGUGCUGCAAACCUUUUGGAAUGAAAAAACUCCACGGAGACCCCUUUCCCAGAGUAGAGAUAUCCCAGCUGUUCUCAGACAACACUGGCAUCCACGUUCCCUUAAGUUUGUCACCCCUUUUGCUCAGAAAUGAGGACUUUCCUCCUUUCCUCCCUUCCUUCUACGCAGUCCUGGGUUUCACUAAGAGCUGGCUGCAUUUCACUGUCAACUGAGCUGAACCACAGGGAUGAAUAUUCCCUUCUGCUUCAUCAAGAAAAAAAUACUUAAGACAUCAGAAGCUGGCUGCAGAAGAAAUCUGGCUUUUCUGUGUAUUCUUCAGCUGUCAUCUCUCUGGAGAAGACCAUUUAAUAAAGCUCCAGCAGGACCUCUGAAAUGACAGGAAAGAAGGGUUUACCUGGUCAGCCCUUUCCCCUGGUUGAGCCUGUAGCUGUUGGUGAGCAGUUCCCCAAGAUGCUGCAGCUUCAUCCAUUUCUCUGCAAAGAGAGAGAAGUGUUAAAAUAAGAGCAGCCGAUGGAAAAGCAGCCAAGAGCUAGAUGUGCAGGGAAGAGGGGAGAGAUGUGGCUCUCCCAUCAUUUCCAUGUUAGGGGUUUGCAUGGCUAGAAAAUGGAGAGACAGAUGGAUUGCAUAUCCCCUUUUUCACUCCCCCAAUCCUAUCAGAAAGGUGAAAGAAAGAGGCCUACAAAGCAACAAAGUAGUGAUUUAGCCAGGACAGGAUCUUGUGUAUCAACUCUGCAAGGGCUCAUACAAAUACACACACCUUUGGCUGCUGGAACCUGUUUGAAAGCCAGAAGGAACAUGAGCCAGAAGACCAGGUCACCC